GAUGAACGCUGGCGGCGUGCCUAAUACAUGCAAGUCGAGCGAACAGACGAGGCUCUUGCUCCUUUGACGUUAGCGGCGGACGGGUGAGUAACACGUGUAUAACCUACCUAUAAGACUGGGAUCACUUCGGGAAACCGGAGCUAAUACCGGAUAAUAUAUUGAACCGCAUGGUUCAAUAGUGAAAGACGGUUUUGCUGUCACUACUAGAUGGAUCCGCGCCGCAUUAGCUAGUUGGUAAGGUAACGGCUUACCAAGGCGACGAUGCGUAGCCGACCUGAGAGGGUGAUCGGCGACACUGGAACUGAGACAGGGUCCAGACUCCUACGGGAGGCAGCAGUAGGGAAUCUUCGGCAAUGGGCGAAAGCCUGACGGAGCGACGCCGCGUGUGUGAUGAAGGUCUUCGGAUCGUAAAGCUCUGUUAUUAGGGAAGAACAGAUGUGUAAGUAAAUAUGCACGUCUUGACGGUACCUAAUCAGAAAGCCACGGCUAACUACGUG
This 497-nucleotide ribosomal RNA is filed under the name uncultured bacterium. RNAcentral describes it as "partial 16S ribosomal RNA". It matches the Rfam family "Bacterial small subunit ribosomal RNA", at positions 28 to 507 of the family's 1533-position model. The record is from RNAcentral.